Molecule: long non-coding RNA, 295 nt
Organism: Schistocerca serialis cubense
Lineage: Eukaryota; Metazoa; Arthropoda; Insecta; Orthoptera; Acrididae
Exons: 3
Source: RefSeq, a predicted model, not a curated record
UGGCGGUUGUGUAGUGUGUGCGGUGGUGAUUGUGGUGUGAUGUUUUCAUGUAAACUGCUGGUUUAUGAGAGAACUGUUGAGAUAUUGAAGAGGAAAUAUAAUGGAUGUUGUACAGCGGUGCGCUCCGAAGGAAUAAUUCCGUUGUAAAGUGGUGGAAAUGGUGAUGCUGCUCUGGCGGGAUUAUCGGGUGUCGCAGAGCAGUGAUCAACGAGCGCAGUGAUUUUUCGGAAACGAUCGAGCGACGCAGUUGCAGGCUGAAUACUACCAGCAUCGCCGGCCCCGGGUGGCUAAGAGG